This 73-nucleotide transfer RNA is filed under the name Chaetophora lobata. Its description in RNAcentral is "tRNA-Met". It matches the Rfam family "tRNA". Rfam says of the family: Transfer RNA (tRNA) molecules are approximately 80 nucleotides in length. Their secondary structure includes four short double-helical elements and three loops (D, anti-codon, and T loops). Further hydrogen bonds mediate the characteristic L-shaped molecular structure. tRNAs have two regions of fundamental functional importance: the anti-codon, which is responsible for specific mRNA codon recognition, and the 3' end, to which the tRNAs corresponding amino acid is attached (by aminoacyl-tRNA synthetases). tRNAs cope with the degeneracy of the genetic code in two manners: having more than one tRNA (with a specific anti-codon) for a particular amino acid; and 'wobble' base-pairing, i.e. permitting non-standard base-pairing at the 3rd anti-codon position. The record is from RNAcentral. Lineage: Eukaryota; Viridiplantae; Chlorophyta; Chlorophyceae; Chaetophorales; Chaetophoraceae. RNAcentral also lists the same sequence under 2 other names.
GCCUAUUUAGCUCAGUGGUUAGAGCAUCCGUUUCAUACGCGGGAUGUCACUAGUUCAAAUCUAGUAGUAGGCA